GGUGACACAUACUAAUCCACUAAAUUUAAUUCGUGAGAGAUUAUGUCAAUCCAAUUCCACAGAUGAGGAAAUAAGCAAAAUCUUUUGAUUUUACCUUACAGGAUGGAACACAAUGCAUUCAAAUAUGAACUUACUUCGUCUUCACCAAAAUUCGCUAACUGGUCAUGAAAAAGAAUUGCAUUAGAUGAUGUCUUAGAUAAGCAAAAAUAAAUAUUUGGAUUAAAAAGCAUCUCACAGAGCAAAUACUAUGAUCCUGUUCUUCCGAAGAGGAAAAAAAAAGUUAUAAAAAACACAAUAGUCAUAAAAAAAACAAAAUAAAAUAUUGAAUGAUGUUGGUGAAGUCUUCAAAAUUGAGAUUGCAAAGAAAAAGGGAAUUUCAAGAACCGUAAAUUGAAUAUUAAAAGUGGAGAAAAAUUGGAGAAGGAAAAAGUAAAAAGGAGAAAAAUAGUACCUGCUGAUAUUAACUAAAGGCACAUGGCAUAUUUUUCAUAAUCUUCUCC
Molecule: long non-coding RNA, 500 nt
Filed under: Coffea arabica (coffee)
Lineage: Eukaryota; Viridiplantae; Streptophyta; Magnoliopsida; Gentianales; Rubiaceae
Description: long non-coding RNA (CARA_LNC007470)
Source: RNAcentral